This is a small nucleolar RNA of Malania oleifera, 107 nucleotides long. Lineage: Eukaryota; Viridiplantae; Streptophyta; Magnoliopsida; Santalales; Ximeniaceae. The record is from RefSeq and is a predicted model, not a curated record.
AAUCCAUGUUAUGGACAGCAUCUAAUCAAAUCCUUAUACCUUUCCCAAGCUUCAUAGAGUGAUUCAAAAUCAUGUUGCUUGAAUUGACCAAUCUCACUCCUAAGUUG